RNA transcript from Bombus impatiens (common eastern bumble bee), 896 nucleotides. RefSeq lists it as uncharacterized. The transcript is spliced from 3 exons. NCBI's taxonomy places the organism in Eukaryota, Metazoa, Arthropoda, Insecta, Hymenoptera, Apidae. The record is from RefSeq and is a predicted model, not a curated record.
GUCAGUGGAACGUGGCAGGCGCGUGCCAACUUGUCCUUGCUGAAGUUGCAUCUGCGAUGUAUCUGGUAACUUCCUUGCUGAUGCCAGUGAAUCGUAUAAGGCGCGUGGCAACUUAGUAUUUGCCGAGUCUUCUUAUGCGUUAUUUCCUGUUUCUUUCAAUAAAAUAUCAUUUUUUUUUAUAAUAGUAACUUUAAUAUAUUAUUUCAUGGUUUGUUUCUCACGGCUAGUUUCUAUUAAUUUCUAAUAUUCUUGCGUUACGUUGUAUUGAUCAUUAUUUAUUCUUUCUUUGUUACGAUCUUCCAUUUUUAUUAUCAUUUAUUAAAUAUUUAUUCCUUCGCUGAAAAUAUGAUUUAUUUUGUAACGCAUAAAGGUUGCUAUAUGCACGUGUUGAUUAUACAAAAUGGCCGCCUGUGAAUGUUCGUAGUAUAUAGUGACAUUUUAUUAAUGUGAAAUCUAUUAUUUAUCCGUUAAUUAUUUGUGACUCUAUUUUAAUAGUUGAUGUAUAAUUGCAGUGGGAAUAAUAUUAUUUGCAUUUAUUUAAAGUGCGUAAUUAUUGUAUGUAUUCCGAUACGCGCGUGUAAGAGCUAUCAUAACAGUCCAAGAUGGCCGCUCGUUCUACAAUUCCAAUCCUUCAACGCUGAGUCUUUUACUUGGAACAGCUACAUGGUGCGCGUUUGGUAUCUUCUGCUUCUUCGUUACAUGUCUAACACUUAUCAAGACUACUUUUACUUAUCCUAGAAUUUUUCUUGUUGCUGCCUUGACUGUUUCGGUAGUAUCUGGUUCAGUAUUCCGUAAGUAUUCACUUAAGUUUGGUAGUAGGCUUCUUGUAACUGCGUCGGCUUUAAUGUAUAUCUGCCGAUGUGAGUAACGAGCUUCUUAUUAUUAUCAAUUUCUAU